RNAcentral lists this transfer RNA (67 nucleotides) under Marmota monax (woodchuck). RNAcentral describes it as "tRNA.Ala". The record is from RNAcentral. Lineage: Eukaryota; Metazoa; Chordata; Mammalia; Rodentia; Sciuridae.
GGUUGUGGCGCAGUGAAAGAGUGCUCACCUAGCAUGCACGAGGCACUGGGUUCGAUCCCCAGCACCA